GAUGAACGCUCGCUACAGGCUUAACACAUGCAAGUCGCGGGGCAGCAUGGGGGUUGCUUGCAAUCCCCGAUGGCGACCGGCGCACGGGUGAGUAACGCGUAUCCAACCUGCCCUUCACCACGGGAUAACCCGGCGAAAGUCGGACUAAUACCGUAUGUUGUCCAUUGACGGCAUCCGAUUUGGACGAAAGGCUUGGCGGUGAGGGAUGGGGAUGCGUCCGAUUAGCCAGACGGCGGGGUAACGGCCCACCGUGGCUACGAUCGGUAGGGGUUCUGAGAGGAAGGUCCCCCACACUGGAACUGAGACACGGUCCAGACUCCUACGGGAGGCAGCAGUGAGGAAUAUUGGUCAAUGGGCGUAAGCCUGAACCAGCCAAGUAGCGUGCAGGAGGACGGCCCUAUGGGUUGUAAACUGCUUUUAUGCGGGGAUAAAGUGGCCCACGUGUGGGCUUUUGCAGGUACCGCAUGAAUAAGGACCGGCUAAUUCCGUG
This 490-nucleotide ribosomal RNA is filed under the name uncultured bacterium. RNAcentral describes it as "partial 16S ribosomal RNA". It matches the Rfam family "Bacterial small subunit ribosomal RNA", at positions 28 to 507 of the family's 1533-position model. The record is from RNAcentral.